RNAcentral lists this ribosomal RNA (254 nucleotides) under uncultured bacterium. RNAcentral's name for it is "partial 16S ribosomal RNA". It matches the Rfam family "Bacterial small subunit ribosomal RNA", at positions 524 to 776 of the family's 1533-position model. The record is from RNAcentral.
CACGUAGGGACCAAGCGUUGUCCGGAUUUAUUGGGCGUAAAGAGCUCGUAGGCGGUUUGGUAAGUCGGGUGUGAAAACUCAGGGCUUAACCCUGAGACGCCACCCGAUACUGCUAUGACUUGAGUCCGGUAGGGGAGUGGGGAAUUCCUGGUGUAGCGGUGAAAUGCGCAGAUAUCAGGAGGAACACCGGUGGCGAAGGCGGGUCUCUGGGCCGAUACUGACGCUGAGGAGCGAAAGCGUGGGGAGCGAACAGG